Pseudomyrmex gracilis is the source of this 951-nucleotide long non-coding RNA. RefSeq lists it as uncharacterized. The record is from RefSeq and is a predicted model, not a curated record. NCBI's taxonomy places the organism in Eukaryota, Metazoa, Arthropoda, Insecta, Hymenoptera, Formicidae. The transcript is spliced from 8 exons.
UUACGCUCACUUUGAUCUCGGACUUCGCAGAGGUUGGACGUUUUUAAAUAGAGUGGAAAGAGUUUCCUCUUUCUCAAAGACGCUACGUUUCAUGGCUUCGAGAAGUUUAGCACAUUCUACCAUGUUUUUUCACUUCACGUUUAAGGUUUUUGUAACACGAUGAUGACACAACAAGUCUCGUUCGUAUGAUUGUUUCUUGAUUACAAUCGAUUCUUUCUGACCGCAAAUUUUUCAUAGAGAUAAUCGCCGCGUGCUCCACACAGCUUAGAUUUAGUUACCGGUUUUUUUUUAGCUUCGGAUUUGCAGAACCAGCUUGUGCUAUAUAGUCUCGAAAAGCACCUGCUCACAUCUCUCGCUACAAUUUUUUAUUUUAGAAGAACAAUUAAAAAUAAGUACAAUGGAGAAGAAUAGUCUGAAUUAUCAUAAGUGUUUUGGAUGAGAAGAAAUUUUUUGCAGAAGAAUAUGGAAAUCACAUUUAUAUAAAAUAUGUAAAAGCACUAAAAAGUCAAAAUGAAUGAACUGGAAAGAAGAAAGGGAAGUUGUAGUAUAUAAUAUAGAAAUGGAACUUGUAUAUUUACAUAACAAAUGUAAUAAAAAAAUGUAAUAAAAAGAAUGAGAAUGGAAGCAAUGUCAAAACUAGAAGAAGAGAAAGUUGGAAUAUACAAAUAAUGACUAAGAAUGUGCUCAUGGAAAAGAACUGUGUGAGAAAUAUGAUAUUUAAUAUACAAUAAAAUCGCUCCAGCAACACAAUACACUUUAAUAUUGGAAUUUCAAAGAAUUAAAUAUCUCUCAGAUCUUUAACAAUUUACAUUUAUGACUAUUUUAGAUCUUUUAAGGAAUAUGUUAGAGAGACUAUGUAUCAGGCUGCUUUUGAACUGAACAAAGUGAACUGAAAUGUUUACAAAAUAAAUGAUAUGAAAAUAAUAUUAAUUUUCUGUUUAAUGCAUACUA